CAUAAUUAAUGGCAUCCAACACCCUACAAUAUUGAAUCAUUAAGCACUUGCGAGGUAUGAUAUAUAGGAAGAGUACUACCAGUAGGAAAUUAAGAGAGCCAAGCUAAAUGGGUCUAAAAUGGAAAGUGAAUUUGAAAGAGCUGAAGAAGGUAAGCUAUGUAGCAGCGCCAAUGGUGGCAGUGACGGUGUUACAGUAUCUCUUGCAGGUUGUUUCAAUGGUGAUGGUUGGCCACCUUGACGAGCUCUCCCUCUCUGGUGUCUCUAUUGCCACAUCUUUCACCAGUGUUACUGGCUUCAGCUUUCUUUUUGGAAUGGCUGGUGCCUUAGAGACUGUAUGUGGCCAAGCAUAUGGAGCAGAGCAGUACCAGAAGCUUGGAACUUAUACUUACAGUGCAAUCAUUUCUUUGAUUCUGGUCUGCAUUCCUAUAUCCCUUCUGUGGAUGUUCACAGACAAGCUACUAAUCUUAAUAGGCCAAGACCCUUCAAUCUCACAUGCGGCUCGCAAAUACUCAGUUUGGCUCAUUCCUAACCUGGUUUCAUAUGCUGUGCUUCAAGCAUUGAUUCGUUACUUCCAAACUCAGAGCUUGAUCAUUCCAAUGCUCUUUAGCUCAUUUGUUACUCUGUGUUUCCAUAUACCAUUUUGUUGGGUUCUUGUGUUCAAAACAGAAUUGGGAUGUGUAGGAGCUGCAUUAGCCAUUAGUGUAUCAUAUUGGUUGAAUGUUUUCUUGCUUGGAUUGUACAUGAAGUAUUCUUCAAUGUGCAAGGAUACUCGAUCUGUAAUCUCCAUGGAUAUGUUCUUGAGCAUGAAGGAGUUCUUUCGUUUUGCUCUUCCUUCUGCAGUAAUGACUUGCCUAGAAUGGUGGUCCUAUGAGGUAAUCAUUUUACUAUCUGGCCUUUUACCAAAUCCAAAAGUAGAAAUUUCAGUCCUUUCUAUAUGCUUUACAAUCACUUAUCUGCACUACUUCAUUCCAUAUGGAUUUGGUGCCACUGCAAGCACUCGGGUUUCAAACGAAUUGGGAGCUGGAAAUCCACAAGCAGCUAAAGUAGCAAUUUCAGCCAUAAUGAUUCUUGCACUUGCAGAGGUGGUUAUUAUAAGCAUGGCUCUCUUCUUUUGUCGCCACAUUUUAGGAUAUGCAAUUAGCAAUGAGAAGGAAAUUGUGGAUCAUGUUGCAGAUAUGGCUCCUUUCCUUUGUUUGUCAAUUAUCAUGGAUGGCUCUCAAGCAGUGCUUUCAGGGGUUGCUAGGGGAAGUGGGUGGCAGCAUAUAGGAGCCUAUGUGAAUCUUGGUGCCUAUUAUCUGGUUGGGACUCCAGUAGGUGCUGUAUUGGCUUUUGUUGCACACUUGAAAGGGAAGGGCCUUUUGAUUGGAUUGGCCACUGGAUCAUUUGUACAAGCAACUCUACUUGCUCUCAUGACCAUUUUCACAAACUGGGAAAAACAGGCAAUUAAAGCAAGAGAGAGGAUAUUUGAAGGGGAUUCGUAGAGUGGAUAUAUAUUCCGGAAAAUAGGGGUGAGGAACUGAGGAUGCCCCAAACAAAUCAGCUAUGCUAUAGCUUCGGCUUGACAAGAUCAUGAAAUGGUUGCAGUGCAGCAUGAUUUUGGUGAAGUCUCAGAACAUGGAAGUGUGGAAGGAAACUUGGAAAGGUCGAAGAAUUGAGAAGCAUUGUUGAUACAAAGUACACGGGUCGUGUAAGCACAACCACAGACCCGUGUAACAUUCUGCUAGAAGAAAUCCAGAAAACCGAGGAAAAAACAAAGUACACGGGCCGUGUAACUUGACCCGUGUAAAUCCUGGAGACCAGUGUAAACUUCUGUGCCAAUGCAAGACAUACCCAUUCAGCUCCAGUAAGUUACACGGCCCUGGGCCGUGUAGUGAUACACGAGCCGUGUAUCCGUCGACAAUCAGUUUCCUGAUUUUGCUCCAGUUGCAGUUUUUGACAAAGACUCUAAAAACCUAACCCUAGACCAUUUAUUAUAAAUAGAAGAGGCAGCAGCCGACACAAGGGACCAUGGAGCAGCCUCUCGAAAAGAGAGAAUUAGACUUUCGUUCUCUAUUCACAUUCUAGAUUUCUUCAAUUUUCUUCUUUAAUUUUUCUGUAAGCCAUGAACAUGAGUGGCUAAGUUUUUAGUUCAGUUCAAGGGAUUCAAGUUCUUUUGCUUGAUUUGUGAGACCAGGUUAUUAAUUUAAUU
RNA transcript from Hevea brasiliensis (rubber tree), 2188 nucleotides. It is a transcript of the gene named protein DETOXIFICATION 8, with no coding region annotated. The transcript has 8 exons. The record is from RefSeq and is a predicted model, not a curated record. Lineage: Eukaryota; Viridiplantae; Streptophyta; Magnoliopsida; Malpighiales; Euphorbiaceae.